CUCAUAUGUGUCCUCCAAUAGUUCUUUAUCUCAUUAUCAGUUCUCCCCGGUAAUCUCCGGGCAAUCCGUGACCAUCUGCAUGGAAUCAGAAGCUAGUGUUGUAACCACCACAAAGGAAAAAUCCAGAUAAAAAUAGUAAUCCUUUAUAAGCUGAUAUCAAGCUCUCAAAAUACUAGGACUGGACCACUUGCUUUAUUCAAAAGCACAGUCUUCUUUGAUGUUAAUUGGGAGAAAGAAGAAUCAAUCCAUUAUUUUCAAAAUUGCUGGGUAUUGAUUAGAAGUUGCAAAACUAAGAUUUGUGUCGAGAGACCUAAUAAAUAUAACUUGUACUCUAAUUCAAAAUUCUUUUCAAAAUAAAGUACUCCCAAACAAGAUGAGUUGGCCUAUUCAUUUGGAAAUCUUAAGUCUUGGUCUAUUUUCAGUAGGCAAUUUUGAAAUUUUGGUCUAUUAACUGUUUGAAAGUGGGAAGAGGAGGUCCUCGAUCAAGAUUUUCUUCAUUGAUUGAUGAAAAGUACAGUCAACGUAUUACAAUUGUUGUAGUUUAUUAGUUAUACAUUUAUGAUGAUACAAAGUAAUUGCAAUUGAUCUUUGAGAUUAAACGUCAUUGGAUUUGACCGAUUGUUGUUUUUGUAGUUAAAAUUAUAAAUGCCGCAUAAUUAUUAAUUUACGGAGUAAUAAACUCCUACGAAGUAUAAUAU
This is a long non-coding RNA of Chenopodium quinoa (quinoa), 698 nucleotides long. RefSeq lists it as uncharacterized. Lineage: Eukaryota; Viridiplantae; Streptophyta; Magnoliopsida; Caryophyllales; Amaranthaceae. The record is from RefSeq and is a predicted model, not a curated record. The transcript is spliced from 3 exons.